AUAAGUGUCAAAUAGAGUAAA
This 21-nucleotide non-coding RNA is filed under the name Arabidopsis thaliana (thale cress). The record is from RNAcentral. Lineage: Eukaryota; Viridiplantae; Streptophyta; Magnoliopsida; Brassicales; Brassicaceae.